Molecule: transfer RNA, 69 nt
Filed under: Solea solea (common sole)
Lineage: Eukaryota; Metazoa; Chordata; Actinopteri; Pleuronectiformes; Soleidae
Description: tRNA-His
Rfam family: tRNA
About the family: Transfer RNA (tRNA) molecules are approximately 80 nucleotides in length.
Source: RNAcentral
GUAGACGUAGUUUAAUAAAAACCUUAGAUUGUGAUUCUAAAAACAAGGGUUAAAACCCCUUCGUCCACC